This 106-nucleotide transfer RNA is filed under the name Melampsora larici-populina 98AG31. RNAcentral's name for it is "tRNA-Ser for anticodon UGA". It matches the Rfam family "tRNA". From Rfam's summary of the family: Transfer RNA (tRNA) molecules are approximately 80 nucleotides in length. Their secondary structure includes four short double-helical elements and three loops (D, anti-codon, and T loops). Further hydrogen bonds mediate the characteristic L-shaped molecular structure. tRNAs have two regions of fundamental functional importance: the anti-codon, which is responsible for specific mRNA codon recognition, and the 3' end, to which the tRNAs corresponding amino acid is attached (by aminoacyl-tRNA synthetases). tRNAs cope with the degeneracy of the genetic code in two manners: having more than one tRNA (with a specific anti-codon) for a particular amino acid; and 'wobble' base-pairing, i.e. permitting non-standard base-pairing at the 3rd anti-codon position. Lineage: Eukaryota; Fungi; Basidiomycota; Pucciniomycetes; Pucciniales; Melampsoraceae. The record is from Rfam by way of RNAcentral.
GACAGGAUGGCCGAGUGGUUAAGGCGGCAGUUUUGAAUGAUUUCCACCUGUGAAAUACAUUAGCUGCUUCACUUUGUGAGCGUGAGUUCAAACCUCACUCCUGUCG